This 2801-nucleotide ribosomal RNA is filed under the name Escherichia coli. Its description in RNAcentral is "partial 23S ribosomal RNA". It matches the Rfam family "Bacterial large subunit ribosomal RNA". The record is from RNAcentral. Lineage: Bacteria; Pseudomonadati; Pseudomonadota; Gammaproteobacteria; Enterobacterales; Enterobacteriaceae.
GGGUUGUGAGGUUAAGCGACUAAGCGUACACGGUGGAUGCCCUGGCAGUCAGAGGCGAUGAAGGACGUGCUAAUCUGCGAUAAGCGUCGGUAAGGUGAUAUGAACCGUUAUAACCGGCGAUUUCCGAAUGGGGAAACCCAGUGUGUUUCGACACACUAUCAUUAACUGAAUCCAUAGGUUAAUGAGGCGAACCGGGGGAACUGAAACAUCUAAGUACCCCGAGGAAAAGAAAUCAACCGAGAUUCCCCCAGUAGCGGCGAGCGAACGGGGAGCAGCCCAGAGCCUGAAUCAGUGUGUGUGUUAGUGGAAGCGUCUGGAAAGGCGCGCGAUACAGGGUGACAGCCCCGUACACAAAAAUGCACAUGCUGUGAGCUCGAUGAGUAGGGCGGGACACGUGGUAUCCUGUCUGAAUAUGGGGGGACCAUCCUCCAAGGCUAAAUACUCCUGACUGACCGAUAGUGAACCAGUACCGUGAGGGAAAGGCGAAAAGAACCCCGGCGAGGGGAGUGAAAAAGAACCUGAAACCGUGUACGUACAAGCAGUGGGAGCACGCUUCGGCGUGUGACUGCGUACCUUUUGUAUAAUGGGUCAGCGACUUAUAUUCUGUAGCAAGGUUAACCGAAUAGGGGAGCCGAAGGGAAACCGAGUCUUAACUGGGCGUUAAGUUGCAGGGUAUAGACCCGAAACCCGGUGAUCUAGCCAUGGGCAGGUUGAAGGUUGGGUAACACUAACUGGAGGACCGAACCGACUAAUGUUGAAAAAUUAGCGGAUGACUUGUGGCUGGGGGUGAAAGGCCAAUCAAACCGGGAGAUAGCUGGUUCUCCCCGAAAGCUAUUUAGGUAGCGCCUCGUGAAUUCAUCUCCGGGGGUAGAGCACUGUUUCGGCAAGGGGGUCAUCCCGACUUACCAACCCGAUGCAAACUGCGAAUACCGGAGAAUGUUAUCACGGGAGACACACGGCGGGUGCUAACGUCCGUCGUGAAGAGGGAAACAACCCAGACCGCCAGCUAAGGUCCCAAAGUCAUGGUUAAGUGGGAAACGAUGUGGGAAGGCCCAGACAGCCAGGAUGUUGGCUUAGAAGCAGCCAUCAUUUAAAGAAAGCGUAAUAGCUCACUGGUCGAGUCGGCCUGCGCGGAAGAUGUAACGGGGCUAAACCAUGCACCGAAGCUGCGGCAGCGACACUGUGUGUUGUUGGGUAGGGGAGCGUUCUGUAAGCCUGUGAAGGUGUACUGUGAGGUAUGCUGGAGGUAUCAGAAGUGCGAAUGCUGACAUAAGUAACGAUAAAGCGGGUGAAAAGCCCGCUCGCCGGAAGACCAAGGGUUCCUGUCCAACGUUAAUCGGGGCAGGGUGAGUCGACCCCUAAGGCGAGGCCGAAAGGCGUAGUCGAUGGGAAACAGGUUAAUAUUCCUGUACUUGGUGUUACUGCGAAGGGGGGACGGAGAAGGCUAUGUUGGCCGGGCGACGGUUGUCCCGGUUUAAGCGUGUAGGCUGGUUUUCCAGGCAAAUCCGGAAAAUCAAGGCUGAGGCGUGAUGACGAGGCACUACGGUGCUGAAGCAACAAAUGCCCUGCUUCCAGGAAAAGCCUCUAAGCAUCAGGUAACAUCAAAUCGUACCCCAAACCGACACAGGUGGUCAGGUAGAGAAUACCAAGGCGCUUGAGAGAACUCGGGUGAAGGAACUAGGCAAAAUGGUGCCGUAACUUCGGGAGAAGGCACGCUGAUAUGUAGGUGAAGCGACUUGCUCGUGGAGCUGAAAUCAGUCGAAGAUACCAGCUGGCUGCAACUGUUUAUUAAAAACACAGCACUGUGCAAACACGAAAGUGGACGUAUACGGUGUGACGCCUGCCCGGUGCCGGAAGGUUAAUUGAUGGGGUUAGCGCAAGCGAAGCUCUUGAUCGAAGCCCCGGUAAACGGCGGCCGUAACUAUAACGGUCCUAAGGUAGCGAAAUUCCUUGUCGGGUAAGUUCCGACCUGCACGAAUGGCGUAAUGAUGGCCAGGCUGUCUCCACCCGAGACUCAGUGAAAUUGAACUCGCUGUGAAGAUGCAGUGUACCCGCGGCAAGACGGAAAGACCCCGUGAACCUUUACUAUAGCUUGACACUGAACAUUGAGCCUUGAUGUGUAGGAUAGGUGGGAGGCUUUGAAGUGUGGACGCCAGUCUGCAUGGAGCCGACCUUGAAAUACCACCCUUUAAUGUUUGAUGUUCUAACGUUGACCCGUAAUCCGGGUUGCGGACAGUGUCUGGUGGGUAGUUUGACUGGGGCGGUCUCCUCCUAAAGAGUAACGGAGGAGCACGAAGGUUGGCUAAUCCUGGUCGGACAUCAGGAGGUUAGUGCAAUGGCAUAAGCCAGCUUGACUGCGAGCGUGACGGCGCGAGCAGGUGCGAAAGCAGGUCAUAGUGAUCCGGUGGUUCUGAAUGGAAGGGCCAUCGCUCAACGGAUAAAAGGUACUCCGGGGAUAACAGGCUGAUACCGCCCAAGAGUUCAUAUCGACGGCGGUGUUUGGCACCUCGAUGUCGGCUCAUCACAUCCUGGGGCUGAAGUAGGUCCCAAGGGUAUGGCUGUUCGCCAUUUAAAGUGGUACGCGAGCUGGGUUUAGAACGUCGUGAGACAGUUCGGUCCCUAUCUGCCGUGGGCGCUGGAGAACUGAGGGGGGCUGCUCCUAGUACGAGAGGACCGGAGUGGACGCAUCACUGGUGUUCGGGUUGUCAUGCCAAUGGCACUGCCCGGUAGCUAAAUGCGGAAGAGAUAAGUGCUGAAAGCAUCUAAGCACGAAACUUGCCCCGAGAUGAGUUCUCCCUGAC